GGUCUGGAAAGCUGAUAGAAUUCUCUCUUGUGCUAGCUAUAGUGAAGCUAGUUAAUCUCCAUUGGCUCUUGACUUUGUUGUUUAACAGAGAAUAAUCAUCAAACAAAAUAAUAAUGUUGAAAAAGGAAAAGGAGGAAAUCCUUGACCAUUUUUAAGAUUCAAUUCAAAAUGGGGAAAAGAAAACGAUGACAUAGCAAGAAUACUUGCCCUGAUAUAGACAGUUCUUAGCUUAAUCAAUAUUAACAAUUAUCACUGAUCUCAUCAAAAUAUUUAUGUAAUUUCGUUGUUCUUCCUGGAAAGGAAGCUCGCAGCAAAGUCGCAGCUGCUGGAUUCUUUGUGGUGGUUACUGAUUUUUUAUAUGGUGAUCCAGUUGAUCUAAGCAAGCCUGAUUUUGAUAGCCACGGUGAGUUUCUAGAGCAAUGGACAUCACCAUUUGUGGGAUGUCAUAGAAGUGAAAUCCAUGAGUUGGAGAAAAAGACUAAGUGACAGUCUUCUUACAUCUGGAGGACAAAGGACAUGAAGAUGCGAAAUUAGUAAUUGCUGCUCUAAGAAGUAAAGGCAUGAAUUCCAUUGGUGCUGCAGGUUCUUGCUGGGGAGGUGAGUCAUUCUCCCCCAUAGCCACGAACUUGCUCAAGUUGGAACAAGCUCAAAUCUAAGACAGAGAAGAAUUUAACGUUUCAGAGGUGAAGAUUCCAGUUGCUUUUCUGGGAGCUGAAAUUGACCGUGCUUCCCCACCAGAACAAUUGAAAGAAUAUCUGCAAAAUCUCAGGUGAUGGGUCCUCAGUCCCAAGAUUGAUGAUUGUCCCAUAGAGGUUCUAUGGUUUAAGGAGAUAAUGUUUUUUUUGUAACUCUUUUCACCUCAUGACUUGGAAAAUAUGAUUUAGCAUUUUGGAUUAAAGUCUCUUUGAUCUUUCUAUGUCACGCCGCGACGAAAAAGCUGAAGAGGACUCUCCUGCUUCCCUUGCUGUUGAGGCUCUAAAUUUCAUGCUCACAACGCAUCAAACCUGAUUUCUAUAUUUUGCAAUUUGAUAGCCAUGUCAAAAUACUCCCUGGCGUCAGCCAUGGAUGGACAGUUCGUUACAAUGUUGAGGAUGAAACAGCUGCCGGGAGUGCUGAAGAACCUCACGGUGACAUGAUACACUGGUUUACCAGUGAAAGAACCUAUAAUAGUUAUAUGGAUGUUCAUGGAUCUCCUCCAAGUUAUAUGGAUGUUCAUGGCAUGAUUAUUCCAGUAGUCCUUGAAAAUGAUCACAUGUUGUUGGUUAACUCUAAAUAAUUAUUUCCCCUUCUCAUCUUAUGAACUCUAUUUAGAUCA
Molecule: long non-coding RNA, 1315 nt
Organism: Populus nigra (black poplar)
Lineage: Eukaryota; Viridiplantae; Streptophyta; Magnoliopsida; Malpighiales; Salicaceae
Exons: 2
Source: RefSeq, a predicted model, not a curated record